AUAAUCUACCUGAUGAUCUGGGAUAACAUUUCGAAAGGGGUGCUAAUACCGGAUAAGCCCACGAGGUCUUCGGAUCUUGCGGGAAAAGGGGGGACCUUCGGGCCUUCUGUCAUCAGAUGAGUCUACGUACCAUUAGCUAGUUGGUGGGGUAAAGGCCUACCAAGGCUUCGAUGGUUAGCUGGUCUGAGAGGAUGAUCAGCCACACUGGAACUGAGACACGGUCCAG
Molecule: ribosomal RNA, 226 nt
Filed under: uncultured bacterium
Lineage: Bacteria
Description: partial 16S ribosomal RNA
Rfam family: Bacterial small subunit ribosomal RNA
Source: RNAcentral